GCCUUGGCUUGCUGAUCGGCAACAAGCUUAGACCGAGCUUCCCAACCUGAAUGGAGAUGUUGCCGAUCUCCCCGGCCACUUCAUUUGCUCAGUGCCUAGGUCGAGUCGAAUUUCAGCAGUAACAAAUUGGUAAUAGAGGAAGAGCUAGCGAUCCUAUUUUUGGAAGUUUGACAAAUCAACAAAUUUGUAGCCAUGAAGUUGAGGAGAAUCCGGGAUGCUACCACUACCACUCAAUCAGAAGUUCGCCAGAAUUUGAUACUUCUCUAUAGAACCCCCAAAGGGCUCCACCCCUAUAGUGCCUAGAUCGAGUCGGAUUUCAGCAGUAACAAAUUGGUAAUAGAGGAAGAGCCAACGAUCCUAUUUUUGGAGGUUUGACAAAUCAACAAAUUUGUAGCCAUGAAGUUGAGGAGAAUCCGGGAUGCUACCACUACCACUCAGUCAGAAGUUCUCCAGAAUUUGAUACUUCUCUAUAGAACCCUCAAAGGGCUCCACCCCUAUAGAAUCUAUAGCCAACACCAGUAGUCACUAUUAAGCAAAUCGAUCUACUCAUGCAAUAAGUUCAGACAUUAACCAUGAUUAGUUUAUAGGGGGCAUUUGGUAUGAGAUGAUGUGCUCAAGAUCGAGGGUGAUGUGGGUGGAGGUGAUGAGAUCACCAUAUUUGGUUGCAUCAAAGUGGUUCUAUAUGGUAGUGAUUUCAAAUCACCUCCACUCCUUAAAUCACUCCCAAAUCAGUGACGGGAUAUCUAUCCUCAAGAUCGAGAACUCAAGAUCAUCCCUAGCUAGGCAG
This 787-nucleotide long non-coding RNA is filed under the name Elaeis guineensis (African oil palm). RNAcentral describes it as "long non-coding RNA (EGUI_LNC049146)". The record is from RNAcentral. Lineage: Eukaryota; Viridiplantae; Streptophyta; Magnoliopsida; Arecales; Arecaceae.